RNAcentral lists this ribosomal RNA (253 nucleotides) under uncultured bacterium. RNAcentral's name for it is "partial 16S ribosomal RNA". It matches the Rfam family "Bacterial small subunit ribosomal RNA", at positions 524 to 776 of the family's 1533-position model. The record is from RNAcentral.
UACGUAGGAUCCGAGCGUUGUCCGGAUUUACUGGGUGUAAAGGGUGCGCAGGCGGACUGGUAAGUCAGUGGUGAAAUCUCGUCGCUUAACGACGAAACUGCUUUUGAUACUAUCAGUUUUGAGUUCGGUAGAGAUUUGUGGAAUUCUGAGUGUAGCAGUGAAAUGUGUAGAUAUUCGGAAGAACACCAGUGGCGAAGGCAGCAGAUUGGGCCGGUACUGACGCUCAUGCACGAAAGCGUGGGGAUCAAACAGG